GGCGACGCCUAGGCCUGUGGUACGGUCGCGGCUCUAGUCCCCGGGGCCUCUCGGUGGUCUCUUGGCUGAGAGGUUGGGCCUCAGGGGCGGGGAAAGGUGGCCGGCACCGGGGGGUACCUGACAGCGGCCCGCGUUAGGGCCGCUAUCUCCCUCGCCCUCCCUCACCACCCCUCCACCCUCUUACCUCCGCUCAGGCCGGAGCCGCGUCCGCUCCGCCUCCUUGGUCCCGGUUACUGCUCGGUCGGGGGCCCGGCGCAGCGAGGUGUUGGCACCUCCCACUGAAGCGGCCCGGCCUCGGCGGGAUGCGCUCCGGUGCCCGCGAGAGGGAGAAAGGAAGGGAGCGCAGACGAGGGGAGGGGGCUGGCGACGGCGCCUCGCCCCUCCCCUCCUCCCUUGGCUGCCCACCGCCGCCCCCGUCUUUCUCGCAGACGCCCCCUCCCCUCGGAGUUGACCCCCGGGAGUGGACGCAGCGUCUCCCGCUGGGGCUGCCUUCGCUUUUCCAGGGAAUUCCUCCGUGGGCCACCCCCACCUUCUCCGGGGUUAGGUUCUCCCAAAUCUUGGAAAUCCGUGAUACCCGACCUAGAAGGAUGCAGCGUGUAUGAUGCCAAGAGCAACCUUUUCCACAGCCCCUCUCCUCAGCCUGCCCCAGCUUUUCUGGUGGUGGUCCCUCCAUCUGGGAGCUCCGAUCACUUCACGUUUUCACCCCAUUGCUGUGGGGCGGAAGUCCUGUUACCCCCUAUAGUACAAAUGCUGAAAUAAUGAGGGGUGUGUGCUGGUGGGUUGGGAGGUGGUGACCUCAGUGACCUCGGGGCCAAGGGUUUCGGAAACAGCCACCUUCUCCCCUUAUUAUUAUUAUAUUUUGCAAUAAUGUCUUAAUAUUGCACUCCACUUCUGUUGGCCUUUGUAGAUUUAAGUAAAAUGCGCCACAA
Non-coding RNA from Saimiri boliviensis boliviensis (Bolivian squirrel monkey), 929 nucleotides. Lineage: Eukaryota; Metazoa; Chordata; Mammalia; Primates; Cebidae. The record is from RefSeq and is a predicted model, not a curated record.